CUCUCUCUCUCUCUCUCUCUCUCUCUCUCUCGUUCUCUCCUCCAAAAUCACGACGACACUUCCUCUUCUCUCUUUCUUCUCCAGACAAUGACAGAGUCUCUUCUCCAUUGAAAAUUGACCAACCUCAACCUUCGUCUUUCCAAACCAGGCAGCAUGUAGGGAGUUGUCCUUGUUUUAUUCGAAGUGCCUAUGUGCCUCAUGAGACCAGGAAGGAGAGAAAACAAAAAAACAGUUUAGAAGGAUAGUCUGAUAUUUGAUGAUGGUGAUGAUGUAGAAAUCUGCCAAAAACGGAAAAGAAGAGAGAUGGAGGACUUAGAAGAAGCUUAUAGUAUACAGACCCAAUUGGAUGCAAAAGUUAAUGAUAUUGAGGUGCUUAAUAUCAAGUUGGAAGAGAUCAAUGCUGGAAGAGAAAAAGACAAAAGUGAGGAUCAGGGAGACUUGACAACUUUACUUGUGCAUGAGAAAAAGAUAAACAACAGAUUCAAGAAGAUGGAGUUGGCUAGGAAAGUUCAAUCAAAAUUUGACGAAUUUGAUCGCCUGUAAUUAGUCUCCUUGUUUAGGUUUUUCUCCAGAUUGUUACUGACUGUGAUAUACCGUUUUUAAUUUAAAGGUUUAUUAUUAUUUUAUUCUUUUAA
This is a long non-coding RNA of Rosa chinensis, 635 nucleotides long. RefSeq lists it as uncharacterized. NCBI's taxonomy places the organism in Eukaryota, Viridiplantae, Streptophyta, Magnoliopsida, Rosales, Rosaceae. The transcript has 2 exons. The record is from RefSeq and is a predicted model, not a curated record.